RNAcentral lists this long non-coding RNA (6474 nucleotides) under Equus asinus (donkey). RNAcentral describes it as "lncRNA (ENSEASG00005033899.1)". The record is from RNAcentral. Lineage: Eukaryota; Metazoa; Chordata; Mammalia; Perissodactyla; Equidae.
GGAAGAUCCUUUUAGAUAUUAUUUACUCAUUAGACAGACCGAUAAAGAAACUAAAGCCCAGAGCAGGGCAGUAGCUGCUGGAGGGCCCAGAGCCACGUGGUAGGAGAGCUGGGAGAGAGGCCUGGGUACUGAGAGAGCUGCUGUGUUUGGGCUGCUCUACACAUCCCCGUGUUUCUGUAUUCCUCCAUGCUCACGGAGUCUUCCUCAGACUUCAGUCUCCAGAUGUGCCAUAGUUUAAUUUGGGGGUCCUCAAGUCAAAAUUUCAAGAACUGAAGAAUACGGAUCAUGAGACCUGCUGAAUAACAUCGAAGGAACUUCUGAACACGCCACCAUUUAAGCGGAGAGGGUCCCUCCCUUCCGCUGCAAUCAGGCUAUUACAGGCUCGCUCUGCCUCUUACCCGCUGGGCGCAGGCCAAGCCCAGAGCCCGGGGCUCCUACUAUGACUUGGCUGAGCAGCAAGCUAUUCAUCCACACGUCCAAGGCCACUUUUGUGCGAACAGCUUCGCAUCACCUGCCCCUGGAGACUUCGGAUCACCCCUCUGCUCCCCCGCCCUCCCCUGCUCCAGCCCCUCUCUGGCUGUGCAGGAGCCAAAGGGGAUUUGUGAUAACAGAGUCACAGGCACAGGCCCAACCCAGGCCCGAGGAGCUUGACCUGAGGCAAGAGCAUAGCCCAGAACAACACACGCCACUCCCCAGCAAGGAGGGGUGGCCCGGCACUCAAAUCGAAAACUCCUGGGCUUUUGAUGGAAGCCAUAAAACAAAGGUCUUAGAAUGUCCAUCAGGAGGGAACGCUUUGAACCAGGCAUCACGCUCUGGGCGGGAUUCCAAGUCAGCCCUGAAAACAGUCAGAGCUACCCCGGGUCCCCUCCUGGCUGCGCAGAAUGGCUGAAAGAGUGGGUUCUCCCUUCUGCCCGGCCCCCCACCCCGGCUCGGUUCCCCACGUCGUCUGAAGAGCCCGCUCUGAGCCCAGACAGCGACGAGACAAGGCGCUUUUCUUACGGCAGGACAUCCUCUCCUCACCCAGACCUCCAAGGAUUUCUCAUCAGAGAGACAAAGUGUCUUUAUUUUAAAGGCUCCAUGUAGCAGGGCCAGAAGUUUCUUGUGUUAUUAAGAAGGGGGUGGGGGAGGGGAAAGGGCCGAUGAGGCUACUUACUUAAUAGCUCCUAACAGCUGUGGAAAGUUUGAUGCAGCAGGAGCACCCGGACAGAAAAUUAAAAAACUAAUAAAGUCCUCAGUGUGGGGGCGCUGGCAUCAGGACAGCUUUACUUCUCCAGACACCUAAUAAAGAGACAUUCCGGGACACUCACUCAUAAGGGGAGUCUGCAGGGGUCACCGGGAACAGUGGAAAGUGAGCCAUGGAAACCUAGCAGUCACUCACAGCGCCGUGGGGAAGUUUCGUUUGCUUCUCCUCUUCCCCGCCCCCCCCCCACCUCCGCUUUUCGCCGUUUUGGAAGAAUGGCAGGGUGCUCAGGACCCAAAGAAGGAAAAGGAGGACUGAAAAAAGAGAAAAAGAGGAGGGGGGCGAUUCCAGGAGCCUCAAUGUAGAAAUCAUGCACUUUCAUGGAGGGAACGAGCGUGAAGCUGAGGUUGGCAGUUUAGACAUAGCAGGACGGGAGGUGAUGGUCACCAUGCAGGGGCACGUUGAGAUCCCGAGGCGGCUGGCUUCUGGAGGUAGCAGAGAAAGGCGGUUUAGAGAAAUGAGGUUUAUUCAGCUGGAUUUUAUGAAGCACCCUCCUCACGAAAGGUUUUCUCGUGUGGGUUUUUCCACUGUCGUUACGAGGUCAUUUUGGAUCUGAGCUCCUUGGGGUCUGCUAGGUUCUGGGUUGCUGGGUUGGGACUUUUGCUUUAAAGGACAUUUAUGUUGUUUUGUCUUGGUCCUCAAGUUGGGCUUUGUGUAUUUGAAGAAAAAAUAUGAUGACUUGGGACAACCAAACCAUCAGCCAGUUGUGGAGGCAUCCACUGAGCUGGUGGGGCCAGUCUUCUCACACACACAACGUGCCAGCACCAAAGGUAGACUGCAGUGGCCUGCUAACAAAAGGAGAGUACAGUGGAAUGAGUCAGCCAGAGCAAGACAAAUACUGUGGGAUCUCACUCACAUGUGAAAUCUAAAAGAAUCGAACUCAUAGAAACAAAACAGAUAGGUGUUUGCCAGAGGCGGGUGGAAGGGGUGUGUGGGUAUGUGUGUGACGGGGUGGGGUUUGGGGCAGGGGGAGGGAUAGGUGGGGAAAAAAGAAAAGCAGGAAGAAAAGACAGUAAAAAGAAAAUUGGCUCCAUUUUCUAACCUGAUGUUCAAUUCCGGUCGUGUUUUUGAGAUGGGCUCCGGCUAAUUCUCACUUUCUGUGUAACAUUCUGGUUGAUCUGUAAUCUGGAGACCAGCAGCCAAACUGGAUCCUCAGGAUCACCUCUCCACAGCAGUGGUUACCACCGGCUAAUGUUACAUUUGCUUAAGAAGAAUACAGUUUGUGUUGUGCAAAUUUGUGAAAUGGCUUUUGCCCACUGGCCUCGAGGCCGUCCUUGCACAAAUUUCCCAAGGGCUCCUGGUGUGAUGGAAAGAGAACCGGAGACAAGGCACUCGGGCCCAAUUCCAGCCGCCUGUGCCACUCACGGGCAUGGAGGGGUUGAGCAAUCACUUGUCCGUGUGGGCCUCAGUUUCUUGUUCUGUAGGAUGAAGGGAUGGGCAAUGACUUCUAAGGCCCCUUCCAGCUCCCACACGCUGUGAUUCCGUGAGGUUGCAACGUUGGUCUCUGUAUUGAUGUUCCUGGCUCUCCUGUGUCAGAAAGUGUUUUCCUUCUGGCUUUUCCUUUGGUUGUGGCUUGGCAGAGGCCGAGCUGCAGCCGUUGGGUGUGAUGGAGGAGACUUCUGUGGUUAUGUGAGUAAAAUGAAAUACAGGCUUUUGAACUUCUCAAGUGCAGAAACCCUUUCUUGGUCUUUUCUGUUUCUUUGGGCUUUUUCUUUAAAAUAAGAAAAAAAAAGAUUUUUCUCCCAUGAGAACAGUUCCACGUUUAAGAAAAGAAAAAUGGUGCCAUUGGGGUGGGCAUGGAGUGGCUUGUGGUAGGUAGAUCUCUCUGAGGGGGUCCUGGGAAGUUCUGAUUUAUACUGGAAGGAUCUAGAGCUUCUCAAAUUUCAAAGUGCAGAAGGAUCACUGAGGGUCUUGUUAAAUCCAGAUUCUGAUUGAAUAGUGUGGGGUGGGGCCUGGGAUUCUGCAUUUCCAAUGAGCUCCCAGGUGAUGCUGCCUAUGCUGGCCCAUGGGCUACACUUUUAGUAAGAAGGCUAGGUGAUCCCAACUUAGGCCUCCCUGAGGCUGGCCCAGAGAGCAGCAGGAGCUCACAGGAUGGGGACAUUGCAACCAGGCCCACCAUCCUGGGGUUCUUUAGGUGUCUAGGUUCAGUUUAUGCCCAGAAUGAACCUGCAAGGUCAGCUCUUAACAUAGGGAGUCCUAUCCCUCUGGAAGGUGGGUCUGUCACAGUCUGGCUGGCAAUCAGUCUUAUGUAGGUUCUCCCUUUUGCCAUCUGAUACUUCAGUGUUUUUCUUUCUCUUUCUCUCUCUUUCUCUGUUUCCAGCAUUGGGAGAAGAAAAAUUGGGCAGUGGGGGUAAGAAAGGAUAACGCAUCAAUUAGUUACAGAGCUACAGUAUAGAAUUAAAUGAGCCCCAUACUCUGGCUCAUGAACAACAUUAUAUUAGCAAGCCUAGAACUGGUGUUGGUUUUAGCUAAAUAAAGAAAUCUAAAUCAUUUAAUACACCUUUCCUAAUUGAGCCGCACACCAGGGGCACCUUCCUAAUGGCAUUAUGGCACCAAUUACCUCAUUAGGAGAGACGAGCUGCUUUUAUGACAGGUUUUGGAAAUUAAAAUGGCAGAGGGGUGUCCUUCAAGAGGACUAAUUCUGGGCUGGGCUGAGCUCAGCAAUGAGCAGGGGUCAGAAGGGUGCAUGGGGGCCCGGGAACUGAAGGCGGGACGAUGAUCCCUGUUUGGUUUGACCCCUGGCUUGGGGCUGAGAUCUGGAUUCACUCUUCAUGUGCUGUUUCAUCAAGUAUGUAAACUCCAGUGGCUCUUGCACUUGAGUUUGUGUAAGAUCCAGUGGGAAGGCUUGUUAGGAAUUCAGGUUCCAGGGCCCCACCCUGAGAUUCUGACCCAAGAAGGCUGGGCUAGGCUCCAGCCAAACCAUACUUCUAACAAGGUCCCUGGGCAGCUUUCUUGCAGGAAGCUCACAGACACUAUCUCUUUGUAGAAAUCAGUAGAGAGGCUCCUAGUGACUUCACCCAAAACUCAGCGAAGUAUAUGCAGGUUCCUCCAUCACCAGGGGUUUUCAUCUUACCAAAGAACAGACCAAAUGAGAUUUAUGUGGAUUUGCUUCUUUAGACACGCACAGCUAAUUUUCUCUCUUUCUGUCCAGCGUGCUUUGGUUGGUUUGUGUGGUUGAGUACUAGGGAGACUGGGUUUGACUAUUAUCUUGGAUGCUUACGUGCUGUGUGACACUGGGCAGGUCAUUGUGCCCUGGGGGCUACAGUCUCCUCAACUCACAAUGGGCACAGUCAUGUGGGAAUUGUAAAGUGCAAGGACAUAUUAUUGGUCGAGACACUGUCUUUUGGCAACUCAGUUUCCUUCGCUGUAAAAUGAGCGUGUUGCACCUAAGUAUGAAUUUGAUUAGUCUAGGUAGCAAGUGGCUUCUCUUUCUGGCAGCUUUUCAUGUUUUCUUUCCCUGUAGUAACAAGAACUUCAACCUCCAGAUUUUGUGUAAAUAUUGAAUUUAUAGCAAUGGUUUUGUAGAGUGUUCCAGUUUCCCGGGUUGAUGAUUAAUGUGGCUUUCUCAGAGUGCACUGUGCCUUCUCAAAAGGCCUUGCCUGAGAGUCCUGUGAACUUCACGGUGGCUGAGUGUUGUUUCUGCUCUUCUCUCUAUUGUCAUGUGGAAGAGGGAGCAGAUGCAGUCUGUGUGACCCCAGAGGGCAGAAGCAGCAUCAGCUGAUAGACAUGUAGGGAGGUGAAAUUAGGCUUAAAAAUUAGAAUUUCCUGAUAAUUAGAAUGACUUCUCCGAUCUAAAACUUUGCUCGCUUUACAUUGCCUACCAUGUCAUGCACAAACUUCUCUUGUUUGGCUUUCAAUGUCUCCAUCACUUGGCUUUCACAGGCUUUUUCAAUCCUCUGUCCUCUCCCUAAUUACUUGAAUUGUGGGCUUUAACUCACUUUUGUGAUGGUCACUCUCCAAGCCAUAUUUCCAACCCAGAUCCUGUUCUGCAUUUCCAACAGCCUGCAAAGCAUCUCCAGUGAGCUGUCUCGUCAUUACUGCAAAUUCAAAAUGUCCUCAGGGGCACCCAUCAAAUUCCCCUUAACCUUGCCGCUCUUCCCAUCUCCCUCAUUUAUGUUUGUGGAAGUAUGAUCUAGCCUUAGGGAAUGAAAACUAACUUGGAAGAUCCCAAACCUUCUCAUUCUAGCAUCUGAUCAUUUACUAGGACCCAUUGUCUUGAAAUAUCUCACAGUUUAAUAGUUACAAGAAAUCUUAUAGCCCAUACUAUUUCUUCUUCCUCUAAAUCCACAGUGAAACCUGUCUAGGUUUUAUAGCUUCUAGGUCUGGUUAGAUCUCCUGUGUAGAGGAGAAUCGUUUGUUAGCAAUACAUGUGCAAAUGAGGUUUGUAGACAGCGUAAGCCAAGUGUAAAUCUACAGUAUGGGGAUGCCAAAGAAACUCACCUACAGCAUGCUUUAUUAAGAAAAAUACAGCCUCUAAAAUGAGCAAAGUUAUUGUCCUGACCAACUUGGCAUUGACUGAAACACCCUUGGAGUGCUUCUUAACUUACUAGUAUAGUGUUGUAUGUGUAUUACUUUUCUGAGCUGUCAAAGAUGUUGGCUAAAAGUCUCCCAUUACUAUUAUAUUUCUAUUGAUUUUCCCCAAAUGUCUAAGAAUUCUUGCUUUAUUUUUAUUCUAUAUUAUGUGGCAAAAAGGGUUUAUGACAGUUAUGUUUUCUUUAUGGGUUGUUCACUUUGUCAAUAUUUAUUUAUCUAAAUUUCACUUAAGCUUUUUGCUUUCAAUUCUACUUUGAUAAAAAUAUUGUGAUCCUGAUUUCUUUAUAGAUUGUGUGUCUGUGUGUAUAAUAUAUUUGCUAGUUUAUCAUUCCUUAUUCUUAUACUUUUUUUUCUUUAAGUACCUAUCUUGGGAUAGCAUGGGUUUAGUUUUUCAAAUAUGAGAAUUUAAGCCAUUUACAUUUAUUAUCAUGGUUACUAUGUUGUUACUUCAGUCAAGUUGCUUAUGUUUCUGUUUUUUAAAAUGUUUUAUUGUUCUUUACUUAAAAUUGUCUUUUGCUGAGGCUGGCCCCAUGGCCGAGUGGUUAAGUUCACGCGCUCCACUGCAGGUGGCCCAGUGUUUCGUUGGUUUGAAUCCUGGGGGCGGACAUGGUACUGCUCAUCAGGCCAUGCUGAGGCAGUGUCACACAUGCCACAACUAGAAGGACACACAACGAAGAAUAUACAACUAUGUACUGGGGGGC